GCGACAGGCCUAACACAUGCAAGGUCGAGGGGCAGCGACAAGGAGCAAUCUGAGGUGGCGACCGGCGCACGGGUGAGUAACACGUAUGCAACCUGCCUGUAAGCGGGGAAUAACCCGUUGAAAGACGGACUAAUACCGCAUAAUACUAAAUUACUGCAUGGUAAUUUAUUUAAACAUUUAUGGCUUACAGAUGGGCAUGCGCAUGAUUAGCUAGUUGGAGAGGUAACGGCUCCCCAAGGCAACGAUCAUUAGGGGUUCUGAGAGGAAGGUCCCCCACACUGGUACUGAGACACGGACCAGACUCCUACGGGAGGCAGCAGUGAGGAAUAUUGGUCAAUGGACGAGAGUCUGAACCAGCCAAGUCGCGUGCAGGAAGAAUGUCCCUAUGGAUUGUAAACUGCUUUUGCAGGGGAAUAAAGUGCAUCACGUGUGAUGUUUUGUAUGUACUCUGCGAAUAAGGAUCGGCUAACUCCGUGCCAGCCGCCGC
RNAcentral lists this ribosomal RNA (487 nucleotides) under uncultured bacterium. RNAcentral describes it as "bacterial SSU rRNA". It matches the Rfam family "Bacterial small subunit ribosomal RNA", at positions 39 to 518 of the family's 1533-position model. The record is from RNAcentral.